UACGUAGGGGGCAAGCGUUGUCCGGAAUCAUUGGGCGUAAAGAGCGUGUAGGCGGCUCGGUAAGUCCGCUCUGAAAGCCCGGGGCUCAACCCCGGGAGGCGGGCGGAUACUGUCGGGCUAGAGUCCGGAAGAGGCGAGUGGAAUUCCCGGUGUAGCGGUGAAAUGCGCAGAUAUCGGGAGGAACACCAAUGGCGAAGGCAGCUCGCUGGGACGUGACUGACGCUGAGACGCGAAAGCGUGGGGAGCAAACAGG
RNAcentral lists this ribosomal RNA (253 nucleotides) under uncultured bacterium. Its description in RNAcentral is "partial 16S ribosomal RNA". It matches the Rfam family "Bacterial small subunit ribosomal RNA", at positions 524 to 776 of the family's 1533-position model. The record is from RNAcentral.